UACGUAGGGUGCAAGCGUUAAUCGGAAUUACUGGGCGUAAAGCGUGCGCAGGCGGUCUUGUAAGUCUGUCGUGAAAUCCCCGGGCUCAACCUGGGAAUGGCGAUGGAGACUGCAAGGCUAGAGUUUGGCAGAGGGGGGUAGAAUUCCACGUGUAGCAGUGAAAUGCGUAGAGAUGUGGAGGAACACCGAUGGCGAAGGCAGCCCCCUGGGUCAAAACUGACGCUCAUGCACGAAAGCGUGGGGAGCGAUCCGG
RNAcentral lists this ribosomal RNA (253 nucleotides) under uncultured bacterium. Its description in RNAcentral is "partial 16S ribosomal RNA". It matches the Rfam family "Bacterial small subunit ribosomal RNA", at positions 524 to 776 of the family's 1533-position model. The record is from RNAcentral.